This 253-nucleotide ribosomal RNA is filed under the name uncultured bacterium. RNAcentral describes it as "partial 16S ribosomal RNA". It matches the Rfam family "Bacterial small subunit ribosomal RNA", at positions 524 to 776 of the family's 1533-position model. The record is from RNAcentral.
UACGUAGGUGGCAAGCGUUGUCCGGAAUUACUGGGCGUAAAGAGCGCGUAGGCGGGGAUUUAAGUCAGGAGUGAAAACUGCCGGCUCAACCGGCAGCCUGCUCUUGAAACUGGAUUUCUUGAGGGUAUGAGAGGAAAGCGGAAUUCCCAGUGUAGCGGUGAAAUGCGUAGAUAUUGGGAGGAACACCAGUGGCGAAGGCGGCUUUCUGGCAUACAACUGACGCUGAGGCGCGAAAGCGUGGGGAGCGAACGGG